This 433-nucleotide ribosomal RNA is filed under the name uncultured bacterium. RNAcentral's name for it is "partial 16S ribosomal RNA". It matches the Rfam family "Bacterial small subunit ribosomal RNA", at positions 29 to 507 of the family's 1533-position model. The record is from RNAcentral.
AACGAACGCUGGCGGCAUGCCUAACACAUGCAAGUCGAACGAGACCUUCGGGUCUAGUGGCGCACGGGUGCGUAACGCGUGGGAACCUGCCCUUAGGUUCGGAAUAACUCCCCGAAAGGGGUGCUAAUACCGGAUAAUGUCUUCGGACCAAAGAUUUAUCGCCUUUGGAUGGGCCCGCGUUGGAUUAGCUAGUUGGUAGGGUAAAAGCCUACCAAGGCGACGAUCCAUAGCUGGUCUGAGAGGAUGAUCAGCCACACUGGGACUGAGAUACGGCCCAGACUCCUACGGGAGGCAGCAGUGGGGAAUAUUGGACAAUGGGCGAAAGCCUGAUCCAGCAAUGCCGCGUGAGUGAUGAAGGCCUUAGGGUUGUAAAGCUCUUUUACCCGGGAUGAUAAUGUCAGUACCGGGAGAAUAAGCUCCGGCUAACUCCGUG